AUAANGUUGAUUUUCCCGGAAACACAAAAAUCGAAGAACAACGUUGAAGAAAUCGCUUCUAAAAAGUACGCUUAUAAUAUAGAGGGUGUAUAUAUUUUAUCUGAAAGAGUUUUAAAAAUGUAUACUACGAAAACUCUAAAAAAAACUACUCGAAAACUUUUCGAAUUAAGUUAAUAAAAAAAAAUUUUUCAUUUUCAUUGUAAAAAAAAAUAGUUCCGCUUGCCUCACAUAAGGUCCACUUAAUAUAUUUUAGUACAUUCACACACUACCACAACUAUUGGUUUUACAAUACGCAGAUUGCCCACUAAAUGUUAAUAUUUGGCCAUAUUCUCUAAGCUAAAGCCAAAUAUCCAUAUACCAUCGGCUAGUAGUGGUAGGGUCA
This is a non-coding RNA of Cinara cedri, 382 nucleotides long. The record is from the annotation of a GenBank genome assembly. Lineage: Eukaryota; Metazoa; Arthropoda; Insecta; Hemiptera; Aphididae.